UGGUGGGGUAACGGCCUACCAAGGCGAUGAUGGGUAGCUGGUCUGAGAGGACGAUCAGCCACACUGGGACUGAGACACGGCCCAGACUCCUACGGGAGGCAGCAGUUAGGAAUUUUCCGCAAUGGGCGAAAGCCUGACGGAGCAACGCCGCGUGAGUGAUGAAGACCUUCGGGUUGUAAAGCUCUGUCGGAGGGGAAGAACACAAUGACGGUACCCUCCAAGAAAGCCCCGGCUAACUACGUGCCAGCAGCCGCGGUAAUACGUAGGGGGCGAGCGUUAUCCGGAUUUACUGGGCGUAAAGCGCGUUAAGGCGGCCGACAAAGUUGGUGGUGAAAUUUCAGGGCUCAACUCUGAAACUGCCUCCAAUACUGGUCGGCUUGAGUGCGAGAGAGGAAGGUGGAAUUCCCGGUGUAGUAGUGAAAUGCGUAGAUAUCGGGAGGAACACCAGUGGCGAAAGCGGCCUUCUGGCUCGCAACUGACGCUGUAGCGCGAAAGCGUGGGGAGCGAACGGGAUUAGAUACCCCGGUAGUCCACGCCCUAAACGAUGUGCACUAGUGUUGGGCGUAUUGACGCGCUCAGUGCCGCAGCUAACGCAUUAAGUGCACCGCCUGGGGAGUACGGUCGCAGAUUAAA
Molecule: ribosomal RNA, 633 nt
Filed under: uncultured soil bacterium
Lineage: Bacteria
Description: bacterial SSU rRNA
Rfam family: Bacterial small subunit ribosomal RNA
Source: RNAcentral